AAACUAAUCCCCGGUACCCCCAUAGAAGCAGCUGGAUUGCCCUGUAUGUGGCCGUGUCUGGAAGCAUUUCUGCACAUUGAAUUUGCCUUACACCACCCCUGAGGGGAGACGUAGAACAAGUUGUCCACCAACGAGACUCUUCACAUAGUAGUAGCAAAAAUCAGCGAGAAUGAACGUCUGGACAAUUUCUGAAAGAAGGACCAUAGGAGGCCACAACCCAUAGCCCAGUGCAGUCAGAAGACGUCCAUGAGUAUCCAAUACCUGAAGCACCCAAUGCGCACAACUCAAGAACCUUGCAACUCCAAGUGCAAAUAUAUAAUGUGCUGUGAAAGGUUCAACAAUCUUUGUGUUCUGCAUGACCCGAAGCUGAGGCAAUACUGAAACAGCUUCAAGAAAAACACAGAAAGCCCAGCAAAUCCUGUUUAUUA
This 428-nucleotide unclassified non-coding RNA is filed under the name Hevea brasiliensis (rubber tree). The record is from RNAcentral. Lineage: Eukaryota; Viridiplantae; Streptophyta; Magnoliopsida; Malpighiales; Euphorbiaceae.